This 302-nucleotide ribosomal RNA is filed under the name uncultured bacterium. RNAcentral describes it as "partial 16S ribosomal RNA". It matches the Rfam family "Bacterial small subunit ribosomal RNA", at positions 508 to 809 of the family's 1533-position model. The record is from RNAcentral.
GCAGUCGCCGCGGUAAUACGAAGGGGGCUAGCGUUGUUCGGAUUUACUGGGCGUAAAGCGCACGUAGGCGGACUUUUAAGUCAGGGGUGAAAUCCCGGGGCUCAACCCCGGAACUGCCUUUGAUACUGGGUGUCUAGAGUAUGGAAGAGGUGAGUGGAAUUCCGAGUGUAGAGGUGAAAUUCGUAGAUAUUCUGAGGAACACCAGUGGCGAAGGCGGCUCACUGGUCCAUUACUGACGCUGAGGUGCGAAAGCGUGGGGAGCAAACAGGAUUAGAUACCCCAGUAGUCCCUGUCUCUUAUAA